UGUUUAUUAAUGUAAGAUGCAUAUAAAAUUUUGAAUUUUAUUGAAAUAGUUUAAUUCUAUUAUAAUCAU
RNAcentral lists this transfer RNA (69 nucleotides) under Gasteruption sp. M19. RNAcentral describes it as "tRNA-Gln". The record is from RNAcentral. Lineage: Eukaryota; Metazoa; Arthropoda; Insecta; Hymenoptera; Gasteruptiidae.